GCAUUGUUCGGGCGACUCCCGGAGCGCGCACAGCCGGCUCGCAGCGCGGCACUACAGCGGCCCCGGCCCGGCCCCCGCCCGGCCCCGGCGCAGGCAGCUCAGAUCAAGGAGGUAUGCAAGCAGAGAAUCCCAACAUGGAUCCCUCAACCAAAAUCUACAGGCAUCACCAAGAUUUCCACUAAAGCCCCCACAGUGCCUAUGGAUAAGCCUAUUUACCAAAAUGGCUGUGGAAAGCUACACAUCGUGAGAACUGUUACCUCCAACACUUUCCUCCAUGUGGGAGGGAGAAGGUAACUCAUACCAAUGCACUGCCUGGAUACAUUCAUCUGCAGAAAUAUGUGGAAAGCUAAAAUUACCACUAUGAAAGGCCAAAGGACCAUCUCUACAGGAAAUGGUGAAGCAGCUUGGUGGACCUGAUGAAGAUCAUCCCCAAAAAAGCAGCACAUCUACAAUUAUUUUACUUCUAUAUGUGUAUGUGCACAUACAAACACUCACAGGCCUAGACCCACACCCAAAUCUACCCAUUUCCUCAUCCUACAUAUAAUCUAACCCAAAGAUGAACUAUCU
Molecule: small RNA, 567 nt
Filed under: Pongo abelii (Sumatran orangutan)
Lineage: Eukaryota; Metazoa; Chordata; Mammalia; Primates; Hominidae
Description: processed transcript
Source: RNAcentral